RNAcentral lists this RNase P RNA (326 nucleotides) under Bacteroidetes bacterium HGW-Bacteroidetes-10. RNAcentral describes it as "RNase P RNA component class A". It matches the Rfam family "Bacterial RNase P class A". Rfam says of the family: Ribonuclease P (RNase P) is a ubiquitous endoribonuclease, found in archaea, bacteria and eukarya as well as chloroplasts and mitochondria. Its best characterised activity is the generation of mature 5'-ends of tRNAs by cleaving the 5'-leader elements of precursor-tRNAs. Cellular RNase Ps are ribonucleoproteins. Lineage: Bacteria; Pseudomonadati; Bacteroidota. The record is from RNAcentral.
CCGGUGGGUCGCUCUGUCGCUCCUCUUAAUGAGGGGAGGAAAGUCCGGACAGGAUAGAGCGGGACUUUGUGGAAAUCACAGCUGGGGGUAACUUCAGGUAAAUCGUAACAGAAAAUAACCGCCUUUAAUCAGGUAAGGGUGAAAAUGCGGGGUAAGAGCCCACAACCGGUUGCGGCGACGCCGCCGGGGUACGAAACAGUCUCCUGCAAGGCCAAAUAUACCGGCAGCCAAGGGCUGCUCGCUCUUUGCCGGGGGGUAGGCUGCUCAGAUAAAUGACAGGGGCCCCGAAAGGGGAACAGAAUCCGGCUUACAGACCCACCUUUUUU